This 72-nucleotide antisense RNA is filed under the name Actinoplanes awajinensis subsp. mycoplanecinus. RNAcentral's name for it is "ASpks TB sRNA". It matches the Rfam family "ASpks TB sRNA". Lineage: Bacteria; Bacillati; Actinomycetota; Actinomycetes; Micromonosporales; Micromonosporaceae. The record is from Rfam by way of RNAcentral.
CUUCACCGACCCCAGCCACAGCGGCCCAUCGGCACGGCCCUGACCGUAAGUGGCCAGCAGCGCCUCAGCCUC